RNAcentral lists this transfer RNA (83 nucleotides) under Kwoniella heveanensis CBS 569. RNAcentral describes it as "tRNA-Ser (GCT) (tRNA-Ser-GCT-1-1)". It matches the Rfam family "tRNA". Rfam says of the family: Transfer RNA (tRNA) molecules are approximately 80 nucleotides in length. Their secondary structure includes four short double-helical elements and three loops (D, anti-codon, and T loops). Further hydrogen bonds mediate the characteristic L-shaped molecular structure. tRNAs have two regions of fundamental functional importance: the anti-codon, which is responsible for specific mRNA codon recognition, and the 3' end, to which the tRNAs corresponding amino acid is attached (by aminoacyl-tRNA synthetases). tRNAs cope with the degeneracy of the genetic code in two manners: having more than one tRNA (with a specific anti-codon) for a particular amino acid; and 'wobble' base-pairing, i.e. permitting non-standard base-pairing at the 3rd anti-codon position. Lineage: Eukaryota; Fungi; Basidiomycota; Tremellomycetes; Tremellales; Cryptococcaceae. RNAcentral also lists the same sequence under 1 other name. The record is from RNAcentral.
GGCACUUUGGCCGAGUGGUUUUAAGGCGAUCGCUUGCUAAGCGGUUGGGAUUUCCCGCGUGAGUUCGAAUCUCACAGGUGUCG